GGCCCGAUGGUUUAGGGGUAUAAUACUCGCUUAGGGCAGUGUGGGCUCCGGCUCAUCGACAACUCUAAGUCGCUUGCGAGUGGUCCCGGGUUCGAUUCCCGGUUGGGCCC
Molecule: non-coding RNA, 110 nt
Organism: Sugiyamaella lignohabitans
Lineage: Eukaryota; Fungi; Ascomycota; Dipodascomycetes; Dipodascales; Trichomonascaceae
Source: the annotation of a RefSeq genome assembly